RNAcentral lists this long non-coding RNA (790 nucleotides) under Fukomys damarensis (Damara mole-rat). RNAcentral describes it as "lncRNA (ENSFDAG00000033207.1)". The record is from RNAcentral. Lineage: Eukaryota; Metazoa; Chordata; Mammalia; Rodentia; Bathyergidae.
AUGGUGUGUGAACUAGACCAUGACUUUGAGAAGAAACUGUGGUCCCCAAACAGGGCUUUCAGACAGGAGAAGGCAGCUGUUUCUGUUACGGGAAGCCUUGGUCUGCCAUCCCACCGGAAGUCUGUCUGGGAGGUCUUCUGCCGGCUGGCUAGUCCCAGCCAUGUCCCAAUAGAGACCCAGUGCCCAGAAGGGCCUUGUCCUCCUGCGGCCCAGCACCGGCACCCCUGUGCUGUUCCAGUCCCCAUCUGCCAACUUGCCCAGGCUCUGAGUCCAGGCUGUCAACUAACUGGGCCCCGAGGACAGACGCCUCGCACAACUCCUGAGGACAUGGUUCAGCUCCUUGACACUCAUAGGAGGUCACUGCAUGAAGUCCUUCCCUUCUAAGCUUGAGGCAGAACUGUAAGCAAAGAAGGCAUGACAUGUUGGCUGUCUUCCCGGGUCACAGCUUUGCAAGCUGCUGCUGCAGAGAAAAGAGGAUUCUGCCUCAGUAGGCAGAAAGUAGCGCUCUGACCCAGGCGAAGAGAAGUUUUCACUGUCCAUUACCCAGCCGUGUCUCUGGGCAAAUCACUGCUCCUCUUUGGUCCUCAGUUGUCACACCAGUCCCAGGACUAGGUGAGUAGCUCAGUAGCUAAGGUGUAUUCGAUGCAUUUGGAUCUCCGGUGUUUUCCGCUUAUCGAUAGGUUUAUCAGGGGGUAACUCCAUCAUAAGUUGAGAAGUAUUUGAAUAGUAGCAGUUAUCUGUGUACAUAUCACCACAAUCUGUGUUGAGACAUUUCCACUGUCCUCCCCCA